This 341-nucleotide ribosomal RNA is filed under the name uncultured eukaryote. RNAcentral describes it as "LSU rRNA". It matches the Rfam family "Bacterial large subunit ribosomal RNA", at positions 2139 to 2479 of the family's 2925-position model. The record is from RNAcentral.
CAGGAUAGGUGGGAGGCAGUGAAAAUAGUCUUGCGGGAUUAUUAGAGCUAACGGUGAGAUACCACUCUAGUAAAGAUAAAAUUCUAACUCUAUACCGUUAUCCGGAUAGAGAACAGUUUCAAGUGGGCAGUUUGACUGGGGCGGUCGCCUCCUAAAAGGUAACGGAGGUGUGCAAAGGUUCCCUCAGGCUGGUUGGACAUCAGUCGAAGAGUGUAAAGGCAUAAGGGAGCUUGACUGCGAGACCCACAAGUCGAGCAGAGACGAAAGUCGGCCUUAGUGAUCCGACGGUUCCGAGUGGAAGGGCCGUCGCUCAACGGAUAAAAGUUACUCUAGGGAUAACA